This 743-nucleotide ribosomal RNA is filed under the name Mucor hiemalis. RNAcentral describes it as "eukaryotic LSU rRNA". The stretch from base 244 to 396 matches the Rfam family "5.8S ribosomal RNA". Lineage: Eukaryota; Fungi; Mucoromycota; Mucoromycetes; Mucorales; Mucoraceae. The record is from RNAcentral.
UGACUGCGGAGGAUCAUUAAAUAAUUUAGAUGACCUCCUAGAACUUGUUCUAGUUAGGUUCAUUCUUUUUUUACUGUGAACUGUUUUAAUUUUCAGCGUUUGAGGAAUGUCUUUUAGUCAUAGGGAUAGACUAUUAGAAUGUUAACCGAGCUGAAGUCAGGUUUAGACCUGGUAUCCUAUUAAUUAUUUACCAAAAGAAUUCAGUAUUAUUAUUGUAACAUAAGCGUAAAAAACUUAUAAAACAACUUUUAACAACGGAUCUCUUGGUUCUCGCAUCGAUGAAGAACGUAGCAAAGUGCGAUAACUAGUGUGAAUUGCAUAUUCAGUGAAUCAUCGAGUCUUUGAACGCAACUUGCGCUCAAUGGUAUUCCAUUGAGCACGCCUGUUUCAGUAUCAAAAACACCCCACAUUCAUAAUUUUGUUGUGAAUGGAACUGAGAAUUUCGACUUGUUUGAAUUCUUUAAACUUAUUAGGCCUGAACUAUUGUUCUUUCUGCCUGAACAUUUUUUUAAUAUAAAGGAAUGCUCUAGUAUUAAGACUAUCUCUGGGGCCUCCCAAAUAAAACUUUCUUAAAUUUGAUCUGAAAUCAGGCGGGAUUACCCGCUGAACUUAAGCAUAUCAAUAAGCGGAGGAAAAGAAAAUAACAAUGAUUUCCCUAGUAACGGCGAGUGAAGAGGAAAGAGCUCAAAGUUGGAACCUAUUUGGCUUAGCUAAAUCGGAUUGUAAACUGUAGAAGUGUUUUC